GACAGAGGGUGCAAACGUUGUUCGGAUUUACUGGGCGUAAAGCGCGUGUAGACGGCUUGGCAAGUCGGAUGUGAAAGCCCACGGCUCAACCGUGGAAGCGCAUCCGAAACGGCCUCGCUCGAGUCUCGGAGAGGAAGGUGGAAUGCUUGGUGUAGAGGUGAAAUUCGUAGAUAUCAAGCAGAACACCUGCGGCGAAGGCGGCCUUCUGGACGAUGACUGACGCUGAGACGCGAAAGCGUGGGGAGCAAACAGG
This 253-nucleotide ribosomal RNA is filed under the name uncultured bacterium. RNAcentral's name for it is "partial 16S ribosomal RNA". It matches the Rfam family "Bacterial small subunit ribosomal RNA", at positions 524 to 776 of the family's 1533-position model. The record is from RNAcentral.